This 495-nucleotide ribosomal RNA is filed under the name uncultured bacterium. RNAcentral describes it as "partial 16S ribosomal RNA". It matches the Rfam family "Bacterial small subunit ribosomal RNA", at positions 28 to 507 of the family's 1533-position model. The record is from RNAcentral.
GACGAACGCUGGCGGCGUGCCUAAUACAUGCAAGUAGAACGCUGAAGGAGGAGCUUGCUUCUCUGGAUGAGUUGCGAACGGGUGAGUAACGCGUAGGUAACCUGCCUGGUAGCGGGGGAUAACUAUUGGAAACGAUAGCUAAUACCGCAUAAUAGUAGAUGUUGCAUGACAUUUGCUUAAAAGGUGCAAUUGCAUCACUACCAGAUGGACCUGCGUUGUAUUAGCUAGUUGGUGAGGUAACGGCUCACCAAGGCGACGAUACAUAGCCGACCUGAGAGGGUGAUCGGCCACACUGGGACUGAGACACGGCCCAGACUCCUACGGGAGGCAGCAGUAGGGAAUCUUCGGCAAGGGACGGAAGUCUGACCGAGCAACGCCGCGUGAGUGAAGAAGGUUUUCGGAUCGUAAAGCUCUGUUGUAAGAGAAGAACGAGUGUGAGAGUGGAAAGUUCACACUGUGACGGUAUCUUACCAGAAAGGGACGGCUAACUACGUG